This 3056-nucleotide unclassified non-coding RNA is filed under the name Neodiprion pinetum (white pine sawfly). RNAcentral describes it as "rNA-binding protein Musashi homolog Rbp6, transcript variant X4". The record is from RNAcentral. Lineage: Eukaryota; Metazoa; Arthropoda; Insecta; Hymenoptera; Diprionidae.
CUACGCGAGUGCAGUGUCGCGUUGAACGUCUCACAGAGCGCGUCGCACGUACGAGAAGUGGCCGCCGCCCGUGUCAGCAGUCGCGUCGCAACCACGUAACCUCGUCGUAUUAGUUUAUAGUAGUUGAGUAGUAGAGAGGAGAAGAGAAGAGAGGAGAAGAGAUAAAACGCCGUAAGAACAUCAGCGCGUCGUCGUUAUAGAGUAAAAAACGUCGUCGCCGUCGUCGUCUACGUCGUCGUCGUCGUCGUCGUCGUCGUCGUCGAUCGUCGUUCCUAGCUAUUGCCGUUUCUACUCUCUCUCCCCCUCAUCCCCGUCCCCCUCCCCCCCGCAAAGAAACGUGAAAAAGACAACAGAAAAGGAAGAAGAAGAAAGAAAGAAAGAAACAAACGAAAGCAACAACGACGAAAAACGAAAAAUAACGAAAACCAAGCAAACUCGUGACGUUGAAACUAAAUUCGGGGAAACUAAACGCAACGCAAACUCAAACCUCAACCUCGACUCAACGCAACGCAACGCAACGCAACCGACCGACUGACCCGACGCGCUUUCCAGGCCUAAUUCACACCGCCACCACCGCCACAACCACCACCCCCCACCCCCCUCCCCGACCUACCCGUCCACCCACCCAAACACCCACCCACCCACCCACCGAUCCACCCACUCAAUCAUCCGAAGACCGGGUCCAUCCCCCAAGUACUACGAGUCUCACGGUAAUAUCGUGCCCACCGAUAUGGAGCCCCAAACCCAGGAGAUAGUGGCCAGCGGAUCGCCCGCCGAGGUGCCGAACGAUCCAGGGAAAAUGUUCAUCGGUGGUCUAUCUUGGCAGACCAGUCCAGAGAGCCUCAGAGAGUACUUCACCAAGUAUGGGGAAAUCACGGAAGUGAUGGUCAUGAAAGAUCCCACCACCAGACGAUCAAGCAGCGGUGAGCUCGCCUCGUAUGUGGUGGAUAGCACUGGCCGCAUGUUUACACCAAGAGGUUUUGGCUUCAUCACGUUCGCGGAUCCAGCCAGCGUUGACAAAGUUUUGGCUCAAGGCACUCACGAACUCGACGGCAAAAAGAUCGACCCAAAGGUGGCGUUUCCAAGGAGAGCACAUCCGAAGAUGGUGACUAGGACAAAGAAGAUAUUCGUGGGCGGGCUAUCGGCGCCGACGACACUCGAAGACGUGAAAAACUACUUCGAACAGUUCGGCCCGAUCGAGGAUGCCAUGCUGAUGUUCGACAAGCAGACGAACAGGCACAGAGGAUUCGGCUUCGUCACGUUUCAGAGCGAGGACGUCGUCGACAAGGUCUGCGAAAUCCACUUCCACGAGAUCAACAACAAAAUGGUUGAGUGCAAGAAGGCGCAGCCGAAAGAAGUGAUGCUACCAGCGAACCUGGCCAAGACGCGGGCGGCAGGUCGAGGCGCUUACGAUUUUAUGUGGUCCCUGGGAGCAUUACCUGACGGUUUCCCGGCGGCAGCGUACGCGGCGUACGCGGCAGGGCGCAGCUACUCAGGAUACCCUAGUUUCGGUCUCCCCUACCCAACAGGGCUGCCCGUGUACUACCCCGGAAGCGGAAGUGACGGUGUGGGCCGCGCGUAUUCGGAGGCGACGAUGCAACACGUUCAACAAAAUCUCCAGCGUAAGAAAUUGGAUCUGACCAACGGGCAGUUAACACCCAACAACAAUACGCCGCUACUUACGCAAGCGCUUUCUGGAUUUGUUCCAGUGAUGAACAACUACCAGGCGGCAGCGCAGGCCGGAUUUCCGCCGGCGUCGCCGCACGGAGCCGCGGGUCACGGGGGACCUCAAAACCGCUCCUUCCCGGCCGCAAAUUCGCCAGGACCGAUCGACAUGUACAGUUCGAGCGCGGCGGCCGCGGCCGCGGCCGCAGCGGCGGACAGCGCGGUGGCCAGCUACGUUCAGGCCGCGGCGAGCCCGCAACCGCCGACGACCGCGUUUCCCGCAAUCGCGGUCUCCCGCGCCCCGCUCAACUACAGCCCCAUGAUGUUUACCGCAGUUUUAGAAUCGCCACUUUGGUAGCGCUCACAGCAGCCGGCCACAUUAUUGUGCCCCGAAAUUUCGAGGGGUCCUCUGAUACCAGCGGCGUUCACUAACGGCUACCAUUGAGCCUUGUUAAGACCUAACAACAGGAUGGAAGAGAGGGCAGAAUUCGGCAGCACGGUCGACUAACGGCUAGAUUACAACAACGGGGACAAACGUAUAUUAUUAUAAAAAAUAUCAUCACAUACACAAGAGAGCAUUAAUAAAUAUUAUAUAAAGACAAGCGAACAAAGAAACGAGAAGAAAAAGAAAAAUGAGUAAUAAAAAUUAAAUACAUAUAUAAUAUGAAUAACACACCUAGACGAUUACGCGAUACGUUGAAUUAUAUUACACACACACACACAUAUAUAUAUAUAUAUUUGAACACGCGAUCGAUUAAUGUAUUUAAUGAGAAUUUCGAGUCGUGAACCGUGGAUAACACAAAGCCUUUAGGAUAUAUGAGCGCGAAUUGUGGCGACGGGUGCGUAAAGAAAUUGGAACAAGCUAAAGAGAGAAAUAAAAAAAUUUAAAUAAGUAAAAAAAUAAAUAAAUAAAAACGCCGGAUUAACGCGUGUACGUGGAAAAAAGGUUGGAAGGAACGGAGAGGAGGAUACGGUAAAAUAAAUAAUUUAAACGAAAGGGAAAUGCUUGCCGGGAAUAAUAAAGGUAAUUAAAAAUGUUAACAACAAGAGAGACGUUCGCCGAAUAGAAAAUAUAUAUACAUAUAUAUACAUAUAUAUAUACACACUGACUACGCUAAUUGUAAACGAAAAAUGCGGUUCUUGAAAACGAGAAAAAAUAUCGAGAAAAAAAUUACAAAAAAAUGAACGUAGCGUGUCUUAUAUCUGUAUAUGUAUAUAUGUAUACAUAUAUUAUAUAUAUACACGUGUACGUGUAUGAAGAAACUACAAAUACGGCACGAGCAAAUAAUACGUUGACACACCUACACCGAAAGAGGAGCGACGGGGGCGGGGAGGGGGAUAGAACUUGGUUCAAAGUAGUAAAGGGAAGAAGAAACAAAAAAAAAAGAAAA